This 482-nucleotide ribosomal RNA is filed under the name uncultured bacterium. RNAcentral describes it as "bacterial SSU rRNA". It matches the Rfam family "Bacterial small subunit ribosomal RNA", at positions 35 to 507 of the family's 1533-position model. The record is from RNAcentral.
GCUGGCGGUAUGCUUAACACAUGCAAGUCGAACGGUAGCAGCUCUAGCUUGCUAGAGGCUGACGAGUGGCGGACGGGUGAGUAAAGCGUAGGAAUCUACCCAUCAGUAGAGGACAACUCGGGGAAACUCGGGCUAAUACUGUAUAUUACUCUACGGAGGAAAGUGAGGGACCUUAUGGCCUCACGCUGAUGGAUGAGCCUGCGUCGGAUUAGCUUGUUGGUAGGGUAAAGGCCUACCAAGGCGACGAUCCGUAGCUGUUCUGAGAGGAAGAUCAGCCACACUGGGACUGAGACACGGCCCAGACUCCUACGGGAGGCAGCAGUGGGGAAUAUUGGACAAUGGGGGCAACCCUGAUCCAGCAAUGCCGCGUGUGUGAAGAAGGCCUGCGGGUUGUAAAGCACUUUCGGAUGGGAAGAAAAGCUCAAGGCUAAUAUCCUUGAGUCUUGACGUUACUAUCAGAAGAAGCACCGGCUAACUCUGUG